RNAcentral lists this ribosomal RNA (432 nucleotides) under uncultured bacterium. Its description in RNAcentral is "partial 16S ribosomal RNA". It matches the Rfam family "Bacterial small subunit ribosomal RNA", at positions 28 to 507 of the family's 1533-position model. The record is from RNAcentral.
GAUGAACGCUGGCGGUAUGCUUAACACAUGCAAGUCGAACGGUCACUUCGGUGAUAGUGGCGGACGGGUGAGUAACGCGUGAGAAUCUGCCUUCAGGUCGGGGACAACAGUUAGAAAUGACUGCUAAUACCGGAUGUGCCUUUGGGUGAAAGAUUUAUUGCCUGAAAAAGAGCUCGCGUCAGAUUAGCUAGUAGGUGGUGUAAGAGACUACCUAGGCUCCGAUCUGUAGCUGGUCUGAGAGGACGAUCAGCCACACUGGAACUGAGACACGGUCCAGACUCCUACGGGAGGCAGCAGAGGGGAAUUUUCCGCAAUGGGCGAAAGCCUGACGGAGCAAUACCGCGUGAGGGACGAAGACUUUUGGGUCGUAAACCUCUUUUCUCAAGGAAGAUGAUGACGGUACUUGAGGAAUAAGCAUCGGCUAACUCUGUG